UGGACCCCAAGCCUUAGUUACUAGUCGGUCGUGAGGCCGACGAACGCGCAGGGUUAGGACCAUUUGAACUCUUGACCUCAAAUC
Molecule: ribosomal RNA, 84 nt
Filed under: uncultured fungus
Lineage: Eukaryota; Fungi
Description: partial 28S ribosomal RNA
Source: RNAcentral